This 460-nucleotide ribosomal RNA is filed under the name uncultured bacterium. RNAcentral describes it as "partial 16S ribosomal RNA". It matches the Rfam family "Bacterial small subunit ribosomal RNA", at positions 338 to 795 of the family's 1533-position model. The record is from RNAcentral.
CCUACGGGUGGCAGCAGUGAGGAAUAUUGGUCAAUGGGCGCGAGACUGAACCAGCCAAGUAGCGUGAAGGAUGACUGCCCUACGGGUUGUAAACUUCUUUUAUAAAGGAAUAAAGUGAGGCACGUGUGCCUUUUUGUAUGUACUUUAUGAAUAAGGAUCGGCUAACUCCGUGCCAGCAGCCGCGGUAAUACGGAGGAUCCGAGCGUUAUCCGGAUUUAUUGGGUUUAAAGGGAGCGUAGAUGGGUUGUUAAGUCAGUUGUGAAAGUUUGCGGCUCAACCGUAAAAUUGCAAUUGAUACUGGCAGUCUUGAGUACAGGUGAGGUAGGCGGAAUUCGUGGUGUAGCGGUGAAAUGCUUAGAUAUCACGAAGAACUCCGAUUGCGAAGGCAGCUUACUAGACUGCCACUGACAUUGAUGCUCGAAAGUGUGGGUAUCAAACAGGAUUAGAUACCCUUGUAGUC